CCUACGGGUGGCAGCAGUAGGGAAUAUUGCUCAAUGGGGGAAACCCUGAAGCAGCAACGCCGCGUGGAGGAUGAAGGUUUUCGGAUUGUAAACUCCUUUUGUUAGAGAAGAUAAUGACGGUAUCUAACGAAUAAGCACCGGCUAACUCCGUGCCAGCAGCCGCGGUAAUACGGAGGGUGCAAGCGUUACUCGGAAUGAAUGGGCGUAAAGAGCUCGUAGGCGGGAUAGCAAGUCAGAUGUGAAAUCCUAUGGCUUAACCAUAGAACUGCAUUUGAAACUGUUAUUCUAGAGUAUGGGAGAGGUAGGUGGAAUUCUUGGUGUAGGGGUAAAAUGCGUAGAGAUCAAGAAGAAUACUCAUUGCGAAGGCGACCUGCUAGAACAUAACUGACGCUGAUGCGCGAAAGCGUGGGGAGCAAACAGGAUUAGAUACCCUAGUAGUC
RNAcentral lists this ribosomal RNA (440 nucleotides) under uncultured bacterium. RNAcentral's name for it is "partial 16S ribosomal RNA". It matches the Rfam family "Bacterial small subunit ribosomal RNA", at positions 338 to 795 of the family's 1533-position model. The record is from RNAcentral.